This 3213-nucleotide long non-coding RNA is filed under the name Prunus dulcis (almond). RNAcentral describes it as "sRNA ncRNA". The record is from RNAcentral. Lineage: Eukaryota; Viridiplantae; Streptophyta; Magnoliopsida; Rosales; Rosaceae.
CGCCGUUUCUCUCCUGUCGUGUCCACCUUAUAUAUCUCGCUCUCUUCCUCGUUACCAUUUCUCCCUCUAUCUCUCUCUCAUCAACCCGAGCCCAGCCCUAGUCGGAACAUCGGUAUAUAAUCCCAAAUCCCUAUUUUUGUAUCUUCGAUUGGAGCAAAAAGAUAGCACGAUUGGGAAUCAGAUGGAUGUAAGUGUUCUCAGAGUUCCUGAAGGAAUCAGGUUUAUCUCUUUUUUUUUUUUUUUUUUCGCUUGCUUGAUCUCAAAUCCUAAAUCCCUAGCUUUUGGAUCUUAGAUUUCCUGACCGAAUAAGGUUUUUCUUUUUUUUUUUUUUUUUUUUUGGCUUGCUUGAUCUCAAAUCCCAAAUCCCUAGCUUUUGGAUCUUAGAUUUCCUGACGGAAGCAGGUUUAUAUUUAUAUAUUUAUAUUUUUUGUUAGUCUUUAUUUAAUGCUAUGUUUCCUUUGUUGAAUCGGAUUUCUACAGGGGUCGUUGAAAAUCCUUAUUGCUAUAUUCUCCCCAACCCCAUAUUAAAUUAGAGCAAAAACAAAACUUAAAUCAGGUCGAUGGAAGCAAUCUCAGCGGACAAGGUUCCUGAAGAAAUCACACCCAAAAAAAGAAAAAUUAAAAUUAGAUGUAGGCAAGCAAUGCCGGCGGACAACAGCGUUAAUAUUCCUGAAGAAAUACUUCACAACAUCCUGCUGUUGUUGCCCAUCAAAUAUCUACUCAAAUACACCGCAGUGUGCCAGUCAUGGAGGUCUCUAAUCCAAAGCUCUGCCUUCAUCCAUACACACCUCAGCCGCGCAAUCAUCCAAUCAAACAACCAAAAUGACGACGCUCAUCUCUUGCUGCUACAGUCUUCCAACAGGGAAGAGAGAAAAAGAUCUUACUCGUUGCAUUGGGAUCGAUGCCCUUCAUUCAGUGAGUACUCCAAGCUUACAGAUCCAUUCGUAGCUUACAAUGAAAUUAGUGGACGUCAAGAAGACAAUAAUCAAACAACAAAAAUGGGUAACAGAAACUGCAAGAUCAAUGUGCUAGGGACUUGUAACGGGCUGGUUUGCCUCCAGGAAGGUGACAUUGCGACUUUAAUUUGGAACCCCAGUAUUAGAAAGUUUGUGGUUUUGCCUCCCCCGGGUGUUACCUUCCUGGGGUUUAAAAGCCACGCAUUUGGCUAUGAUCCGCGUACCAAUGACUAUAAGGUUUUCAGAAGUGUUAGUUAUUAUAAGCCUUCCCGCUUGUCCCGUGCAGUUGAGAUUUUUUCCUUAGCCAAGGGCUCCUGGAAGAGGCUUCAUAAUGCUGUUGUUCCUGCAAACUUCUCGCCUGGAAACUUUACUAGUAAUGAUAAACCCGAUGCUCUUGUUAAUGGUGCUUUGCAUUGGAUUCAGACAGAGGGGGACGACAAGUUCAUUGUGUCCUUUGAUUUGUCCACUGAAUUAUUUGGCAAGAUCCUGAUGCCCAAAUCAGCUUUGAGAAGGAGGACUAAGAAGUGGACACGCGAAGCUCCCGUGGUAAAAAAUGUUUGCUAUGCUUCAAGAUACGGGGGCCGCCUUGCCUUUUUUGAGAAACAUCAAAAUAUGCUAUUAACUGGUGAUGUUCAUUUUUACUUGUGGGUGAUGAAAGACUAUGGUGUUGCAGAAUCCUGGUCUAAAUUAUUCACUAUAUCUACUCAACAAAUUGUGCUCAGGCCACUUUGUUUCAGAAAGAGUGGCCAAGUAGUGCUUGCGUAUCUUUCGGAUGACAAGUGUUAUGAAUUGGUAGACCCUCACAACAAACAAUGUGAUGAUUUUCGAAUUGAUGGGUACUGCCCCAGGACAAGCCUCUACUGCUUCGUGGAUUAUUUUGUAGAGAGCAUUGUCUUACUCGAUCGACCCGAUGCUAUUUCAUACUAGAAAGGUUGGAUUGGUUCGAAUUAGCAUUAUCUGGGCAUCAUUUUUUCUUACUGUUUUGUUUCUUUGGAAUAAUUUUCUAUGUUCGUGCAUGUUUUUUCUUUUUCUCUUCUUUUCUUUGUAAAUUUUGCCUCUUGUAGUAUUAUUUGAAAUAUGCUUCGUUCUUCAUUGGUAGUCUGAGAGAAGUGAAAUAAAAACAUAUUUGAGAUAGAAAACUAAAGAUAGCCAUAGCCAUCUUAUAAAGAUAACAGCAUCAGCUAGCUUUCCUGGAAACAUGAUUUACUUCUCAAUUUUUGACAUCACAAAUGAAGAAAUGAACCUUAAAAAAAAACAACAAAAAAAAAACCUCUAACCUUUUCAUGAUGUGAGUAGAUGAGGAUUCUUGCUCCGCGAAACAUGGGAGGGGAGGAAAGAAGAGCAACUGCUAAGAGGAACGAAGCAACUGCUAAGAGAAACUGAUAAGAAGAGUAACUGGUCCGGUGUGGGCUCUGCACCUUUUUUUCUUUUCUUUUUAAUUUUUUUUUUAAGUUCUGCGUAAUUGUUCUUUUACAAUUAUACCCUGCUAAACAUUGAAGUGAAUAGCUUACACUCCAUAACGCCAUACCAAUGAUAUCCCAUUUUUCAUUUUGCGAGUAAAAACUCCUCAUAAGAAUACCAGGUCCAUGAAGACAUCUGACUAUGACUGACCACUGCCCUUGCUAAUCUAUGUAUCACAAACUCCUCAUAAGAAUACCAGGAAAGGGAUACCGUGAUAUCCAUCAUGCACUAAUUUCUUUGCUUGCCUGAUUAUAUAUUCUAUAUAAUCUAUAUAUAUAGAAAUUCUAUGAACGGUUUCACCUUCUAUAUUUUUAGUGGUGGUUUUAUCUCUACAUUUAUUUUAUUCAUUGUAUGGUGUAGAUUCAUUACCUAUACAAUUUAUUUCCUGUAUUAUGUAGGUUUAUUACCCAUACGAUAGUAUUUAUUUAAAAGUGUGACGCGGGUUUAUGGUCCAUACAACUGCCUUUACUUUUAUUUAAAAGUAUGGAGUAGAAUUAGUGCACAUACAAGCACAUUUAAUUUAUUGCGCAUUUACUUUAUUAUUUAAAGUAUGGUGUGGAAUUAACAUUCAUACAGUAAGCAAUUUAUCGUACAUUUAUUAUUAUUUAAGGUAUGGUGCAGGAUUAAAGUCCAUACAGGAGGCAAUUUAAUUUAUGAAUUUACUUUAUCGCACAUUUACAUUUAUUUAAAGUAUGGUGCGAGAUUAUCGUCCAUACAUCAAUUUACUUACAAGCAAUUUAAUUUAUAAAUUUAUUUUACCUCACAUUUACAUUUAUUUAAAGUAUGAUGCGGGUUU